Molecule: ribosomal RNA, 489 nt
Filed under: uncultured bacterium
Lineage: Bacteria
Description: partial 16S ribosomal RNA
Rfam family: Bacterial small subunit ribosomal RNA
Source: RNAcentral
GUGAACGCUGGCGGUAGGCCUAACACAUGCAAGUCGAACGGCAGCACAGGAGAGCUUGCUCUCUAGGUGGCGAGUGGCGGACGGGUGAGGAAUACAUCGGAAUCUGCCCAGUCGUGGGGGAUAACGUAGGGAAACUUACGCUAAUACCGCAUACGACCUUCGGGUGAAAGAGGGGGAUCGCAAGACCUCUCGCGAUUGGAUGAGCCGAUGUCGGAUUAGCUAGUUAGCGGGGUAAUGGCCCACCAAGGCGACGAUCCGUAGCUGGUCUGAGUGGAUGAUCAGCCACACUGGAACUGAGACACGGUCCAGACUCCUACGGGAGGCAGCAGUGGGGAAUAUUGGACAAUGGGCGCAAGCCUGAUCCAGCCAUACCGCGUGGGUGAAGAAGGCCUUCGGGUUGUAAAGCCCUUUUGUUGGGAAAGAAAUCUUUCAGGCUAAUACCCUGGGAGGAUGACGGUACCCAAAGAAUAAGCACCGGCUAACUUCGUG